UUGCUCGGUCAGCCUAUCGCUGCAUAACUCGCUUAUGUAGAGGAAAGUCCGGACAACGUAGAGUACCAUGCCAACUAACCGUUGGGAGCAGGUCUCGAGAGAGGUCUGUUAUAGAAAGUGCCACAGAAAAUUACCGCUCUUCGGAGUAAGGGUGAAAACGUGAGUUAAGAGCUCACGACGGCAUUUAGCAAUAAAUGUCGGGGGUAAACCUCAUGGGUUGAAAUGCCAUGUAUAUUUUGGAACCUAGUGGGGUAGGUGUUUGCUCGGCAUCGGAAUCGCAAGAUCGCCAAAAGGGGUAGGCAGCUUAGAUAAAUGAUAGGCAUAUACAGAAUCCGGCUUACGACAUUUUAAAAAC
RNAcentral lists this RNase P RNA (355 nucleotides) under Saprospiraceae bacterium. RNAcentral describes it as "RNase P RNA component class A". It matches the Rfam family "Bacterial RNase P class A". From Rfam's summary of the family: Ribonuclease P (RNase P) is a ubiquitous endoribonuclease, found in archaea, bacteria and eukarya as well as chloroplasts and mitochondria. Its best characterised activity is the generation of mature 5'-ends of tRNAs by cleaving the 5'-leader elements of precursor-tRNAs. Lineage: Bacteria; Pseudomonadati; Bacteroidota; Saprospiria; Saprospirales; Saprospiraceae. The record is from RNAcentral. RNAcentral also lists the same sequence under 1 other name.